UGGUGGAGCGAUUUGUCUGGUUAAUUCCGAUAACGAACGAGACUCUAGCCUAUUAAAUAGUUCGGGGACCCCCGCAAAGGGGCCCCGCUUCAACUUCUUAGAGGGACAGGUGGCGUUUAGCCACACGAGAUUGAGCAAUAACA
RNAcentral lists this ribosomal RNA (143 nucleotides) under uncultured eukaryote. RNAcentral describes it as "partial 18S ribosomal RNA". It matches the Rfam family "Eukaryotic small subunit ribosomal RNA", at positions 1299 to 1458 of the family's 1831-position model. The record is from RNAcentral.